GUGCUUGACUUGGCAGCACAUGUUGAAAUAAAAAUUGGAACAACUUGGCGAAAAUUAGCAUGGCCUUGCUUAAGGAUCACAUGCACAUUGUGUGUUCCCUGUUUUA
Molecule: small nuclear RNA, 106 nt
Organism: Spermophilus dauricus (Daurian ground squirrel)
Lineage: Eukaryota; Metazoa; Chordata; Mammalia; Rodentia; Sciuridae
Source: Ensembl